RNAcentral lists this ribosomal RNA (352 nucleotides) under Alphaproteobacteria bacterium. RNAcentral describes it as "partial 23S ribosomal RNA". It matches the Rfam family "Bacterial large subunit ribosomal RNA", at positions 2563 to 2925 of the family's 2925-position model. The record is from RNAcentral. Lineage: Bacteria; Pseudomonadati; Pseudomonadota; Alphaproteobacteria.
UCCCAAGGGUAUGGCUGUUCGCCAUUUAAAGAGGUACGUGAGCUGGGUUCAAAACGUCGUGAGACAGUUUGGUCCCUAUCUGCCGUGGGUGUAGGAUACUUGAGAGGAGCUGUCCUUAGUACGAGAGGACCGGGAUGGACAUACCUCUGGUGUACCAGUUGUUCCGCCAGGAGCAGCGCUGGGUAGCUAUGUAUGGACGGGAUAAACGCUGAAAGCAUCUAAGCGUGAAGCCUCCCUCAAAACAAGGUAUCCCUAUCAGAGCCGUGGAAGACCACCACGUUGAUAGGCUGGAUGUGGAAGGGUAGUAAUACCUGCAGCUAACCAGUACUAAUUGCUCGAUUGGCUUGAAUUC